UGCCCUAGUAACGGCGAGUGAAGCGGCAACAGCUCAAAUUUGAAAUCUGGCUUCGGCCCGAGUUGUAAUUUGCAGAGGAAGCUUUGGGCGCGGCACCUACUGAGUCCCCUGGAACGGGGCGCCAUAGAGGGUGAGAGCCCCGUAUGGUYGGAYGCCUAGCCUGUGUAAAGCUCCUUCGACGAGUCGAGUAGUUUGGGAAUGCUGCUCAAAAUGGGAGGUAAAUUUCUUCUAAAGCUAAAUACCGGCCAGAGACCGAUAGCGCACAAGUAGAGUGAUCGAAAGAUGAAAAGCACUUUGAAAAGAGGGUUAAAUAGCACGUGAAAUUGUUGAAAGGGAAGCGCUUGUGACCAGACUUGCGCCCGGCUGAUCAUCUGGUGUUCUCACCGGUGCACUCUGCCSGGCUCAGGCCAGCAUCGGUUCUCGCGGGGGGACAAAGGCCCUGGGAACGUAGCUCCUCCGGGAGUGUUAUAGCCCAGGGCGUAAUGCCCUCGCGGGGACCGAGGUUCGCGCAUCUGCAAGGAUGCUGGCGUAAUGGUCAUCAGCGACCCGUCUUGAAACACGGACCAAGGAGUCAAGGUUUUGCGCGAGUGUUUGGGUGUAAAACCCGCACGCGUAAUGAAAGUGAACGUAGGUGAGAGCUUCGGCGCAUCAUCGACCGAUCCUGAUGUUUUCGGAUGGAUUUGAGUAGGAGCGUUAAGCCUUGGACCCGAAAGAUGGUGAACUAUGCUUGGAUAGGGUGAAGCCAGAGGAAACUCUGGUGGAGGCUCGCAGCGGUUCUGACGUGCAAAUCGAUCGUCAAAUYUGAGCAUGGGGCGAAAGACUAAUCGAACC
RNAcentral lists this ribosomal RNA (831 nucleotides) under Staphylotrichum longicolle. RNAcentral's name for it is "LSU rRNA". It matches the Rfam family "Eukaryotic large subunit ribosomal RNA", at positions 76 to 941 of the family's 3401-position model. Lineage: Eukaryota; Fungi; Ascomycota; Sordariomycetes; Sordariales; Chaetomiaceae. The record is from RNAcentral.